ACCAGACCAUCCAGCACAGCUUUUGCAGGUUUUUAUCUCCUUUUCAUCUCCAAGAUUGUGAAUCGAGCCUGGAUUAGACAUGCAGCAGACUGAGGACCUGGCUGAAAACUUGGCUGAAAACAGGAGCUUGCAGCAAAUUUGUCAUAGAUUAAAAGAAUAAAUGUGAUGUUAUUUCUGCACUGGAGGUGCUGUUCACCACAUUCUUAUCAGGUUGCUGCUGCUGUAUGACAGGGGAAACUGCACUGCACAGAGGAAAGAAGAGCUAGUCAAAAUGGAACAUCUGCAGGAGACUCAUUAAACUUGAAGAAAAGACAAUUUGAGGGUUGGAGGGAGGAAAGCCAGAGAAAGACAGGAGAGCUGUGAUUUCUUAUUUAUUAAUUUUAUAUCAUUAUGGUCCAACCACUUUUUUACCAUGUUGAGCUGCUGGCUGGCUGGCUAUUUAUUUAUUUAUUUACUUACUUACUUACUUGUUUACUUAUUUAUUUAUUAUAUUUCUAUACCACCCAAAACUUACAUCUCUGGGUGGUUUACAACACAACAAAAUAAAUGACUACAGAAAAGUUAAAACAUUAGUUAAAUGACAACAGAAAAAAAAUGUAAAACAUUAGUUAAA
Molecule: long non-coding RNA, 613 nt
Organism: Hemicordylus capensis (graceful crag lizard)
Lineage: Eukaryota; Metazoa; Chordata; Lepidosauria; Squamata; Cordylidae
Exons: 5
Source: RefSeq, a predicted model, not a curated record